CCUACGGGUGGCAGCAGUGAGGAAUAUUGGUCAAUGGGCGCGAGCCUGAACCAGCCAAGUAGCGUGAAGGAUGACUGCCCUACGGGUUGUAAACUUCGUUUAUCAAGGAAUAAAGUGAGGCACGUGGGCCGUAGUGUAUGAACUUUAUGAAUAAGGGUCGGAUAACUCAGAUCCAGCAGCCGCGGUAAUACGGAGGAUCAGAGCGGGAUCCGUAUUUAUUGGGUUUAAAGGGAGCGUAGAGGGGUUGGUAAGUCAGUGGUGAAGGUUUGCGGACCAACCGUAGAAUUGCAAUUGAAACUGGCAGUCUUGAGGACAGUUGAGGUAGGCGGAAUUCGUGGGGUAGCGGUGAAAUGCUUAGAUAUCAGGAGGAACUCCGGUUGCGAAGGCGGUUCACUGGACUGCAACUGACACUGAGGCUCGAAAGUGUGGGUAUCAAACAGGAUUAGAUACCCGAGUAGUC
This 460-nucleotide ribosomal RNA is filed under the name uncultured bacterium. RNAcentral describes it as "partial 16S ribosomal RNA". It matches the Rfam family "Bacterial small subunit ribosomal RNA", at positions 338 to 795 of the family's 1533-position model. The record is from RNAcentral.